AUUGAACGCUGGCGGCAGGCCUAACACAUGCAAGUCGAGCGAGCGGCGGACGGGUGAGUAAUGUCUGGGAACCUGCCUCAUGGAGGGGGAUAACUACUGGAAACGGUAGCUAAUACCGCAUACCAUCAGAUGUGCCCAGGUGGGAUUAGCUCGUAGGUGGGGUAACGGCUCACCUAGGCGACGUGCCCUAGCCGGUCUGCGAGGAUGACCAGCCACACUGAAAUUGAAAAGAGGUCCGGAAUCCUAGGGGAGGCGGCAGGGGGGAAUAUGGCACAUUGGGCGCAAGCCUAAUGCAGCCAUGCCGGGUGUUUGAGGAAGGCCUUCGGGUGGUAAAGCACUUUCAGCGGGAAGACGUUACCCGCAGAAGAAGCACCGGCUAACUCCGUGCCAGCCGCCGCGGUAAUUC
This 406-nucleotide ribosomal RNA is filed under the name uncultured bacterium. RNAcentral describes it as "partial 16S ribosomal RNA". It matches the Rfam family "Bacterial small subunit ribosomal RNA", at positions 30 to 526 of the family's 1533-position model. The record is from RNAcentral.